UACGGAGGACCCAAGCGUUAUCCGGAAUCAUUGGGUUUAAAGGGUCCGUAGGCGGUUUGGUAAGUCAGUGGUGAAAGCCCAUCGCUCAACGGUGGAACGGCCAUUGAUACUGCCAGACUUGAAUUAUUAGGAAGUAACUAGAAUAUGUAGUGUAGCGGUGAAAUGCUUAGAGAUUACAUGGAAUACCAAUUGCGAAGGCAGGUUACUACUAAUGGAUUGACGCUGAUGGACGAAAGCGUGGGUAGCGAACAGG
This 253-nucleotide ribosomal RNA is filed under the name uncultured bacterium. RNAcentral describes it as "partial 16S ribosomal RNA". It matches the Rfam family "Bacterial small subunit ribosomal RNA", at positions 524 to 776 of the family's 1533-position model. The record is from RNAcentral.